Alligator mississippiensis (American alligator) is the source of this 1501-nucleotide long non-coding RNA. RefSeq lists it as uncharacterized. The record is from RefSeq and is a predicted model, not a curated record. NCBI's taxonomy places the organism in Eukaryota, Metazoa, Chordata, Crocodylia, Alligatoridae. The transcript has 3 exons.
AGAAGGGAGGACAAGAGUUUUUGGGGCUUAGAUGCUGGAAAGCUGGAAUCCAAGCAGUAGGAUAGCCCCGCUGCCACCACAGAUCCCCAUGCCCCACCACUUUCCUUCCACCAGACCACUGCUUGCCCUUGCUCCCAGACCUCCAUACCCCAUUGUGGCAGUGCACCUUUGGGUGCCUGCCACUUUAAGGGCAGAGGCAGGCAGCUACCAGGUGCCUGAUGAGGGCAGCCAUUUUGGGAACACUAGGUAUGUAAAGGCUGUAGUUUGCUGCUGCUAGCCCAGGCAGAAACAUCACCUGGUUGAGUAGCAUGGAACAUCUAGAGCUAAGAUCAAAGGAAGCUGACCUGAAACACAGAGAAACAUGGAGUUACAUUAUGAGUAGGAAGAGAAGUUGGGAGUUACAUCAGAACACUGAUCAAUGAAAUAGGAUGUUUCCCAUCUGUAAAACUAUGGAAUAAAACCUCGCUCUUCCUGAAGUGAUUCUUCACACAUCCAAACCACCCAAUUCCCCUGCACCGAUUUUCUCCCCUCCCCGCCCCCACAACUACAAAGUAUAUUCAGUUUGACAAUGCAGAGUUUCCAUGUAUGACCUUCUAUUUUAUUUCCAUAUGAUAUAUGGAUGACGCUGCUUCGAAAUGUUUGGAGUUUCCCAAUGAAAAAUAUUAUUCAAAUGGUUUAAGGCUGCCAGCUAAGAACCCCUAACAAUGGAACUGGACUAGACAGUUAGUUAUGCCAUGGAGAUGAUAAAUUGAUAAUACUUGACCCUAAAGACUCUAUUUCUGUGUCCCUAGCUUACUUUUCUUGGGCUGCCUUAUACAUGGGGCCUCCAUUCAAACCUGCAUGUAAUUGCAAACACUUGGUUUAUGGUGCAUGUAGCACUUCAGGAUUAAUUACUCUGCCAACUUGAUCCCUAGUUUUACAAGCUCAGGUGAUGCCCGUAGGCACACGGGAUUCUUUCUAAGAACAAGGCAGCGAGGGACCAGCUCUAAAGCAAAACAGUUAACUCCGAAUCAUCAACAGGCAAGUUCGGGGGGAGGGGAGGAACACACAUGGGAGGAUCUAGGAUUUUGAAAAGGCCAGUGCAAAUAGAGUGGUGCAUCAUCACAUACAACACAACACACGUUUCUCCACGUGAACUAUAAGUUUUACUAAUAUGCUGGGGGGGGGUAUAGAUCCAAUUUAAGAUCAAAGCAAAAAACAAAUGUAACUAUUGGAGUCAGUUAGAUUUUUAUAUACAAGUGUAAAAAACAAACAAGCACAAAAAAACUAAGCAAAGAAUAGUCCAAAGAGACUGCGGCAGGCAGUUGGUUUUACAGUUUGGAGGGGGAGCAGAAAUCAAAGGAGGGGGUGAGACUGCACCACCGCACUGGCCCUGGCUCUGCCCCGCGGGUGUAAUACACAUAGCUUCGCAUUAAUUUAUUAUACACUAAUAUUUCAUUAACACGAGUGUACGCGCACGUGCUGGCACACUGCCCACCGACCCACGAGGCACCCGGCGAGC